CUAAAAUUGCUACAAAAUCAAAACCAUAUGUGUAACCAAAUUAUGUUCCAAAUUUGAAGUUGAUAUCACAAAAAUUGUGGGUCCUAUGAGAUUUUUUUUUUUUUUUUUUAAUAUGAGUGCCGAAAGCUGCAGGAGCACAACCACACUCUUUACCACAGUACAGUGGCAUCAUUUAGAAAAUCCAGAUCUGCACAACAUCAGCUAUUCACCCUUGCAACCAUCCCGGGGAUAUCCAGACGUAUCCAUAUAGACAGCAGAGACACUCCACUGACACUCACUGAACUCAUAUGGACAUUAUGUCAUGUGUUGCAAUUAGUGUUGGGGGGAGUUACUUUCAAAAGUCAUCCAUUACAAUAUCGUGUUACUCCAAAAAAAAGUAACUAACUGCAUUAAUUAGUUACUUUUUAUUGAACGUAAUGCAUUACGUUAUAACUGUGUUACCUCCCAGUUUUAAUUUGCGUUACUUGUAAUUUUCAUUUUUGGGUUAACUAUCCAUUUAAGCUAUUUAAUUAAUCGUGCAGCCCUAUUUCACAUAGUUUUUAUCAUCAAUCAAAACCAACAUAACCUCAGACAAACUCACCUCGCCAUCUCUCCGUUCUUCUGCUCUGUGCUUGCGUCGAAGUCCUCCUCGUCUUCAUUCUCCUCCUGUUUCCCAGGCGCCUCCUCUUUCGCCCGCUCUGCCUCCUCCUGCUUCUUCAGCUGCAGUUCUUUCUGCUUCUUCGGCGGCCGUCCCCUCCGGGCGGGAGGGUUGGGCGAGACGCCAGGGCUCUUCCUAGUGCCCUUCCUAGGCGUCACAUUCAUCGCCGAGCUCUUCUUUGAGGAGCUGGAGGCGAAGACAAAGCGUCUCGCUCGCGGGAGAACAGGGAGGUGGUUCCCAGGACGGCCGAGGGCUGAGGGGGAGAGGAGAAGGGGUGCGAGGAGGCGUCUUGAUUGGGGGGGUGCGACAGCUCCAUGGCGGCUCGGACCUCGGGCUGCUGCUCGUGGUGUUUCUCCAGGUGCCUAGCGAGGGAGCGGAAGUGACGGCCGCAGUAGGGACAGUGCUGUCUGCGGGAGAGCGUGCCGCUCGCGCCGAUGUUUAUGUUUAUAUUGUUGUUUAUGUUGGUGGUGGGCGGGGCUAGAGGCUGCUGGAAGGACGGCGGUGAGGAAGGGGCGGGGCAUGUGAAGGACAGGGGGCGGGGCUGGGCUUUCUUCUUGAUGGUCGCUGAGGUUUUGCGUUUCUUGCGGCGUCUCAUCAUGCGUCCCCGCAGAUCCUCCAGGUCCUCCUCGUCGUCGUCGUCAUCGUCGUCUUCCUCCUCCUCCUCCUCCUCUCGGUCGGAGUCGCUGGCCUCGGAGUGAGACAGCGGAGAGGAGGAGGGAGACAGAGACCAGGACGGAGUGAGGUAGUCAGAAACAGUGAGAGACAGAGGCAGUGAGCCCGGCUCCUCCUCCUGCAGAGAGACACACCAGCUGUGAGACACACAGUCUCCUCAGAGAGAUAAACAUGCAGUAGAUUUAGGGCCUGGUGACUACAAGACAAACUUUCAGUGUGAAGAUGAUUUUAUUGUUGUUUGACAAACAUCGCAGCAGAUUGUUUUUAGUCUCGUGGUAUAGGAUUUUAUUUUGUUGAUUGGAAUUAAUAAUUUGAAUUAGAUUUUUUCUAUUUUUUUAUUUUUGUUGUGUUUUUUUUUAAUCAGUUUUUAUUAAGCUUUU
Molecule: long non-coding RNA, 1689 nt
Organism: Cyprinus carpio carpio
Lineage: Eukaryota; Metazoa; Chordata; Actinopteri; Cypriniformes; Cyprinidae
Source: Ensembl